CAGCACCUCAAGUGGUCAGGAUGAUUAUUGGGCCUAAAGCAUCCGUAGCCGGCGCUGUAAGUUUUCGGUUAAAUCUGUACGCUCAACGUACAGGCUGCCGGGAAUACUGCAGCGCUAGGGAGUGGGAGAGGUAGACGGUACUCGGUAGGAAGGGGUAAAAUCCUUUGAUCUAUUGAUGACCACCUGUGGCGAAGGCGGUCUACCAGAACACGUGCGACGGUGAGGGAUGAAAGCUGGGGGAGCAAACCGGAUUAGAUACCCGAGUAGUCC
This 270-nucleotide ribosomal RNA is filed under the name uncultured archaeon. RNAcentral describes it as "partial 16S ribosomal RNA". It matches the Rfam family "Archaeal small subunit ribosomal RNA", at positions 477 to 747 of the family's 1478-position model. The record is from RNAcentral.